Molecule: ribosomal RNA, 695 nt
Filed under: Squamanita sp.
Lineage: Eukaryota; Fungi; Basidiomycota; Agaricomycetes; Agaricales; Squamanitaceae
Description: partial large subunit ribosomal RNA
Rfam family: Eukaryotic large subunit ribosomal RNA
Source: RNAcentral
ACUAACAAGGAUUCCCCUAGUAACUGCGAGUGAAGCGGGAAAAGCUCAAAUUUAAAAUCUGGCAGUCUUGGGCUGUCCGAGUUGUAAUCUAGAGAAGUGUUAUCCGCGCUGGACCGUGUACAAGUCUCCUGGAAUGGAGCGUCAUAGAGGGUGAGAAUCCCGUCUUUGACACGGACUACCAGGGCUUUGUGAUGCGCUCUCAAAGAGUCGAGUUGUUUGGGAAUGCAGCUCAAAAUGGGUGGUAAAUUCCAUCUAAAGCUAAAUAUUGGCGAGAGACCGAUAGCGAACAAGUACCGUGAGGGAAAGAUGAAAAGAACUUUGGAAAGAGAGUUAAACAGUACGUGAAAUUGCUGAAAGGGAAACGCUUGAAGUCAGUCAUGUUGGCCAGGAAUUAGCCCAGCAUUUUUCUUGCUGGGUGCACAGUCCUGGUUUGGCAGGUCAGCAUCAAUUUUGACCAAUGGAUAAAAGUGUGGGGAAUGUGGCAUCUUUUUUGAUGUGUUAUAGACUCAUGCUGGAUGUAUUGGUUGGGAUUGAGGAAUUCAGCACGCCGAAAGGCCGGGAGUUUAUCCACGUUCGUGCUUAGGAUGCUGGCAUAAUGGCUUUAAUCGACCCGUCUUGAAACACGGACCAAGGAGUCUAACAUGCAUGCGAGUAUUUGGGUGGAAAACCCAUGUGCGCAAUGAAAGUGAAAAUUA